This 371-nucleotide ribosomal RNA is filed under the name uncultured bacterium. RNAcentral describes it as "bacterial SSU rRNA". It matches the Rfam family "Bacterial small subunit ribosomal RNA", at positions 527 to 896 of the family's 1533-position model. The record is from RNAcentral.
GUAGGUGGCGAGCGUUGUCCGGAAUUACUGGGCGUAAAGAGCGCGCAGGCGGCUGGUCAAGUCCGACGUGAAAUCUCCCGGCUUAACUGGGAAAUUGCAUCGGAAACUGAUCGGCUUGAAGGUGGGAGAGGGUAGCGGAAUUCCCGGUGUAGUGGUGAAAUGCGUAGAUAUCGGGAGGAACACCAGUGGCGAAGGCGGCUACCUGGCCCAUUCUUGACGCUGAGGCGCGAAAGCUAGGGGAGCAAACGGGAUUAGAUACCCCGGUAGUCCUAGCCGUAAACGAUGAACACUAGGCGUUGUCGGUAUCGACCCCGGCAGUGCCGAAGCCAACGCAUUAAGUGUUCCGCCUGGGGAGUACGGCCGCAAGGCUA